This 902-nucleotide ribosomal RNA is filed under the name Stemphylium vesicarium. RNAcentral describes it as "partial large subunit ribosomal RNA". It matches the Rfam family "Eukaryotic large subunit ribosomal RNA", at positions 32 to 952 of the family's 3401-position model. Lineage: Eukaryota; Fungi; Ascomycota; Dothideomycetes; Pleosporales; Pleosporaceae. The record is from RNAcentral.
AUCUAUAUAUCAAUAUUCUGCUGGUUAUCCAACCCAACAGGGAUUGCCCUAGUAACGGCGAGUGAAGCGGCAACAGCUCAAAUUUGAAAUCUGGCUCUUUUAGGGUCCGAGUUGUAAUUUGCAGAGGGCGCUUUGGCUUUGGCAGCGGUCCAAGUUCCUUGGAACAGGACGUCACAGAGGGUGAGAAUCCCGUACGUGGUCGCUAGCUAUCGCCGUGUAAAGCCCCUUCGACGAGUCGAGUUGUUUGGGAAUGCAGCUCUAAAUGGGAGGUAAAUUUCUUCUAAAGCUAAAUAUUGGCCAGAGACCGAUAGCGCACAAGUAGAGUGAUCGAAAGAUGAAAAGCACUUUGGAAAGAGAGUCAAACAGCACGUGAAAUUGUUGAAAGGGAAGCGCUUGCAGCCAGACUUGCUUGCAGUUGCUCAUCCGGGCUUUUGCCCGGUGCACUCUUCUGUAGGCAGGCCAGCAUCAGUUUGGGCGGUGGGAUAAAGGUCUCUGUCACGUACCUCUCUUCGGGGAGGCCUUAUAGGGGAGACGACAUACCACCAGCCUAGACUGAGGUCCGCGCAUCUGCUAGGAUGCUGGCGUAAUGGCUGUAAGCGGCCCGUCUUGAAACACGGACCAAGGAGUCUAACAUCUAUGCGAGUGUUUGGGUGUCAAGCCCGAGCGCGUAAUGAAAGUGAACGGAGGUGGGAACCCGCAAGGGUGCACCAUCGACCGAUCCUGAAGUUUUCGGAAGGAUUUGAGUAAGAGCAUGGCUGUUGGGACCCGAAAGAUGGUGAACUAUGCUUGAAUAGGGUGAAGCCAGAGGAAACUCUGGUGGAGGCUCGCAGCGGUUCUGACGUGCAAAUCGAUCGUCAAAUUUGGGCAUAGGGGCGAAAGACUAAUCGAACUUCAGUGUCCCC